GAAGCCAGAUCGAUCCUCCACAUUCACAGCCACCAAGGGGCAGAGGCCAGCCUUCUGGAGGCCCCAAGCCUCGAGCCAUUAAGUCAUGAUGCCUCUCAGAAAACACAGAUAGCACUUGUUCUUCAAUUCCCUGUUUCUCCCGGUCUGUCUGUCCCUCUGCCUGUCUCUGUCUGUCUCUCUGCCUGUCUCUGUCUGUCCCUCUGCCUGUCUCUGUCUCUGUCUGUCUCUCUGCUUGUCUCUGUCUGUCUCUCUGCUUGUCUCUGUCUCUGUCUGUCUCUCUGCCUCUGCCUCUGUCUCUGUCUCUAUCUCUAUCUCUCCCUGUCUCUCUGUUUAUCCCUCUGCCUCUGUCUUUGUCUCUCUGCCUCUGCCUCUGCCUCUGUCUCUAUCUCUCUGCCUCUGCCUCUGUCUCUGUCUCUAUCUCUCCCUGUCUCUCUGUCUAUCCCUCUGCCUCUGCCUCUGUCUCUCUGCCUGUCUCUGUCUGUCUCUCUGCUUGUCUCUGUCUCUGUCUGUCUCUCUGCUUGUCUCUGUCUCUGUCUGUCUCUCUGCCUCUGCCUCUGCCUCCGUCUCUGUCUCUAUCUCUCCCUGUCUCUCUGUCUAUCCCUCUGCCUCUGUCUCUGUCUCUCUGCCUCUGCCUCUGCCUCUGUCUCUAUCUCUGUCUCUAUCUCUCCCUGUCUCUCUGUCUGUCUCUCUGCCUCUGCCUCUGUCUCUCUGCCUCUGUCUCUGUCUCUCUGCCUCUGCCUCUGCCUCUGUCUCUAUCUCUCCCUGUCUCUCUGCCUCUGUCUCUCUGCCUCUGCCUCUGUCUCUGUCUCUAUCUCUCUGCCUCUGCCUCUGCCUCUGCCUCUGUCUCUGUCUCUAUCUCUCCCUGUCUCUCUGCCUCUGUCUCUGUCUCUAUCUCUCUGCCUCUGCCUCUGCCUCUGCCUCUGCCUCUGUCUCUGUCUCUAUCUCUCCCUGUCUCUCUGCCUCUGUCUCUGUCUCUAUCUCUCUGCCUCUGCCUCUGCCUCUGCCUCUGCCUCUGUCUCUGUCUCUAUCUCUCCCUGUCUCUCUGUCUAUCCCUCUGCUUCUGUUUGUCUCCUUCUCUUCCUCUGUCUCUGUUUCUAUUUCUAUCGCUAUCCCUCUCCCUCUCUCUGCCUCCCUCCCUGUCUGACCACCCCACCAUCUCUUGUCCACAAACCUUGUCAGUGGCCCCCUUGGAUGAGAGGCUGCGUUCCCUGA
This 1212-nucleotide long non-coding RNA is filed under the name Monodelphis domestica (gray short-tailed opossum). RNAcentral's name for it is "lncRNA (ENSMODG00000050468.1)". The record is from RNAcentral. Lineage: Eukaryota; Metazoa; Chordata; Mammalia; Didelphimorphia; Didelphidae.